UACGGGGGGGGCAAGCGUUGUUCGGAAUUAUUGGGCGUAAAGGGCUUGUAGGCGGCCAACUAAGUCAGACGUGAAAUCCCCAGGCUCAACCUGGGAACUGCGUCUGAUACUGGAUGGCUUGAAUCCGGGAGAGGGAUGCAGAAUUCCAGGUGUAGCGGUGAAAUGCGUAGAUAUCUGGAGGAAUACCGGUGGCGAAGGCGGCAUCCUGGACCGGCAUUGACGCUGAGGAGCGAAAGCUAGGGGAGCAAACGGG
This 253-nucleotide ribosomal RNA is filed under the name uncultured bacterium. RNAcentral describes it as "partial 16S ribosomal RNA". It matches the Rfam family "Bacterial small subunit ribosomal RNA", at positions 524 to 776 of the family's 1533-position model. The record is from RNAcentral.